AUACGGAGGGUCCAAGCGUUAUCCGGAAUCAUUGGGUUUAAAGGGUCCGCAGGCGGUCAAUUAAGUCAGAGGUGAAAGCCCAUCGCUCAACGAUGGAACUGCCUUUGAUACUGGUUGACUUGAGUUAUACGGAAGUAGAUAGAAUAAGUAGUGUAGCGGUGAAAUGCAUAGAUAUUACUUAGAAUACCGAUUGCGAAGGCAGUCUACUACGUAUAUACUGACGCUGAGGGACGAAAGCGUGUGGAGCGAACAGGAUUAGAUACCCUAGUAGUCC
This 274-nucleotide ribosomal RNA is filed under the name uncultured bacterium. Its description in RNAcentral is "partial 16S ribosomal RNA". It matches the Rfam family "Bacterial small subunit ribosomal RNA", at positions 523 to 796 of the family's 1533-position model. The record is from RNAcentral.